This 1180-nucleotide long non-coding RNA is filed under the name Marmota monax (woodchuck). The stretch from base 547 to 615 matches the Rfam family "tRNA". The record is from RNAcentral. Lineage: Eukaryota; Metazoa; Chordata; Mammalia; Rodentia; Sciuridae.
CCCUGCCUUUCCCAUUUGCAGUUCCUCAAUGUCUCAGGUGAAAGUACAGGUCCAGUUCUUUCUUUGCCAGUUAGAUUUCAGUUCGGGUGAGUCCCUUAAUUGUUCUUGCUGUUUAUUGCUUUUGCGGCUGAAGGAUUGCUGAAAUCCAGCAUUCACCUGGACUUUCAGGAAGGCGAGGAAUGGACCAGAGGGGGCUGUGAUCACUGCCUGAAGUUAUGAAUGAGACCAGGCAAGCACCAGGCAAGUGCUGCUGAACCACACCCCAGCCCAUGGCCAGGUAGUCUUGAAGGACAGAAAGCCUGGCCUUUCCAGCUCUCUUCACUGACACAGAAGCACCGUGCACAAGUGUGCUGACUGGAAAGAUGUAAGACUAUAACACGCCGUCGUGUACACCUGUAGAUGGAUGAUCAGUCACUGAAAACCAGGUUGAAGAAUCUGUAGUGAAAUGGAGGCAGCUUGAUUUUUAGUCUGUAAAAGUAACACCGAUCUACAUGUGUCAAGGGAAAAGAGUGGAAGUUUAAAUGUCAAUAGGCUAUUGCUGAGGCUGGGGUUGUGGCUCAGUGGUAGAGCACUUGCCUAGCAUGUGUGAGGCACUGGGUUCGAUUCUCAGCACCACAUAUAAGUAAAUGUAUAAAAUAAAGGUCCAUCAAAAUCUUAUUUUUUAUUUUAAAGGCUAGGGGUUGGGGUUGUAGCUAGAGCACUUGCCUAGCAUGUGUGAGGCACUGGGUUCGAUUCUCAGUACCAUAUAUCCAUAUAUAAUAAAUAAAAUAAAGGUCACGGACAAUUAAAAUAAUUUUUUUAAAAAAGGCUAAUGCUGUCUCCCUUUUGAGUGGCUAAGUCGCAGGUGCCAGUGUUUCUGGGACAGACUGCCUGGGUGGAUUCAAGUAAUUCACAUGUAAUCACCCACUCUGUGCCUCAGUCUCCUCAUCUCCUAAUAAUAAUGGCACCAGAUUUGUUAAAUAUCACAGACUUGUCAGAGAAACCAGAAACAGAAGAUUUUGAAAAGGACAGGAAAAAAUUUAUUCAUAGAGAGUGCAAAAGAGUCAGACUUCAGGACUGACUCUCCAAAUACAAAAAUAUAACAGUAGCAUUUAAAACUGACAAAUAUGUCAAAUUACUAAGGCUACUAUGGUGGGUUGAAUGGUGGUCCCCAAAAGAUAUGUCCGUGCCCUAACUCUAA